GAUGAACGCUGGCGGCGUGCCUAAUACAUGCAAGUCGAACGGAAAGGCCUCUUCGGAGGUACUCGAGUGGCGGACGGCUGAGUAACGCGUAGGAAUGUACCCCAAAGUGAGGAAUAACCUCGAGAAAUCGAGGCUAAUACCGCAUGUGCUCUAAGGAGUAAAGCUUCGGCGCUUUGGGAACAGCCUGCGUAAGAUUAGCUUGUUGGUGAGGUAAUGGCUCACCAAGGCGACGAUCUUUAGCUGGUCUGAGAGGAUGAUCAGCCAGACUGGGACUGAGACACGGCCCAGACUCCUACGGGAGGCAGCAGUAGGGAAUUUUCCACAAUGGACGAAAGUCUGAUGGAGCAACGCCGCGUGCAGGAUGAAGGCCCUUGGGUUGUAAACCGCUUUUAUAUGUGAAGAUAAUGACGGUAGCAUAUGAAUAAGGAUCGGCUAACUCCGUGCCAGCCGCCGCAGUAA
This 459-nucleotide ribosomal RNA is filed under the name uncultured bacterium. RNAcentral describes it as "partial 16S ribosomal RNA". It matches the Rfam family "Bacterial small subunit ribosomal RNA", at positions 28 to 523 of the family's 1533-position model. The record is from RNAcentral.